RNAcentral lists this small RNA (638 nucleotides) under Pongo abelii (Sumatran orangutan). Its description in RNAcentral is "retained intron". The record is from RNAcentral. Lineage: Eukaryota; Metazoa; Chordata; Mammalia; Primates; Hominidae.
ACUGGGUUGCUGAUCCAGCUAUGGAGAAAGCCGCAGUAGAUCUGCAGGACACAGCCUCGUUAACUCUGAAGUUUAAGUUUAACCCAAAGCUGGGCAUUGAUAAUCCUGUCCUCUCCCUGGCCGAAGACCACAACCCCUAUGAUCCCUGGAGCCUGGAGCGGCCUCGCUUCUGUUUACUGAGCAAAGAGGAGGGCAAGAGUUUUGGCUUCCACCUGCAGCAGGAGCUGGGCAGGGCUGGGCAUGUGGUGUGCAGGGUGGACCCAGGCACCUCUGCCCAGCGCCAGGGUCUUCAGGAAGGAGACAGGAUCCUGGCGGUGAACAACGAUGUUGUGGAACACGAAGACUAUGCGGUGGUGGUACGCCGCAUCCGGGCCAGCAGCCCUCGUGUGUUGCUGACAGUAUUGGCACGGCAUGCACAUGAUGUGGCCCGAGCUCAGCUGGGAGAAGAUGCCCACCUCUGUCCCACCCUAGGCCCAGGGGUCCGGCCCCGGCUGUGCCACAUAGUGAAAGAUGAGGGUGGUUUUGGCUUCAGUGUCACCCAUGGCAAUCAGGGUCUUUUCUGGUUGGUGCUAAGUACCGGAGGAGCAGCUGAGCGGGCAGGGGUGCCCCCCGGGGCCCGGCUGCUGGAAGUGAAUGGG